UGGGGAAUAUUGGACAAUGGGCGCAAGCCUGAUCCAGCCAUGCCGCGUGAGUGAUGAAGGCCUUAGGGUUGUAAAGCUCUUUCACCGGGGAAGAUAAUGACGGUACCCGGAGAAGAAGCCCCGGCUAACUCCGUGCCAGCAGCCGCGGUAAUACGGAGGGGGCUAGCGUUGUUCGGAUUUACUGGGCGUAAAGCGCGCGUAGGCGGCUUGCCAAGUUGGGGGUGAAAGCCCAGGGCUCAACCCUGGAACUGCCCUCAAAACUGGCUCGCUUGAGACCGGGAGAGGUGAGUGGAAUUCCCAGUGUAGAGGUGAAAUUCGUAGAUAUUGGGAAGAACACCAGUGGCGAAGGCGGCUCACUGGACCGGUACUGACGCUGAGGCGCGAAAGCGUGGGGAGCAAACAGGAUUAGAUACCCCCGUAGUCC
This 424-nucleotide ribosomal RNA is filed under the name uncultured prokaryote. Its description in RNAcentral is "bacterial SSU rRNA". It matches the Rfam family "Bacterial small subunit ribosomal RNA", at positions 355 to 796 of the family's 1533-position model. The record is from RNAcentral.